Long non-coding RNA from Bombus huntii, 291 nucleotides. RefSeq lists it as uncharacterized. The record is from RefSeq and is a predicted model, not a curated record. Lineage: Eukaryota; Metazoa; Arthropoda; Insecta; Hymenoptera; Apidae. The transcript is spliced from 2 exons.
UUGCCUCUUUAUUUCUUCUGAUGUAAACAUGUUGUUUCCCUCUCUUUCGUAUUAAAUCCCAGAACACAUGUACUACCCCAACAGAUCUCACAAAGGACAUAACCUAACAAACACGAUGUUGGUACCCCGCUGGGGGAAAAUACAUAUACAGACGAGGUAUAGAUAUAUAUUUUCUCUCUGCUAUAGAAUAGACGUGGCAUGCAAUGCUUUUUAUAUCUUCAAUCAAUGAUACAUAUUGCAGUAUUACAUACACGAUCGUACAUAUACAGAGGUCCAAUACUUGUCCAAUUU